GAUGAACGCUGGCGGCGUGCCUAAUACAUGCAAGUCGAGCGAACAGACGAGGAGCUUGCUCCUCUGACGUUAGCGGCGGACGGGUGAGUAACACGUGGAUAACCUACCUAUAAGACUGGGAUAACUUCGGGAAACCGGAGCUAAUACCGGAUAAUAUAUUGAACCGCAUGGUUCAAUAGUGAAAGACGGUUUUGCUGUCACUUAUAGAUGGAUCCGCGCUGCAUUAGCUAGUUGGUAAGGUAACGGCUUACCAAGGCAACGAUGCGUAGCCGACCUGAGAGGGUGAUCGGCCACACUGGAACUGAGCCACGGUCCAGACUCCUACGGGAGGCAGCAGUAGGGAAUCUUCCGCAAUGGGCGAAAGCUUGACGGAGCAACGCCGCGUGAGUGAUGAAGGUCUUCGGAUCGUAAAACUCUGUUAUUAGGGAAGAACAAAUGUGUAAGUAACUAUGCACGUCUUGACGGUACCUAAUCAGAAAGCCACGGCUAACUACGUG
Molecule: ribosomal RNA, 497 nt
Filed under: uncultured bacterium
Lineage: Bacteria
Description: partial 16S ribosomal RNA
Rfam family: Bacterial small subunit ribosomal RNA
Source: RNAcentral